AGGGAAAGCUGGAGGCAGGCCUAACACAUGCAAGUCGAACGGUAACAGGAAGAAGCUUGCUUCUUUGCUGACGAGUGGCGGACGGGUGAGUAAUGUCUGGGAAACUGCCUGAUGGAGGGGGAUAACUACUGGAAACGGUAGCUAAUACCGCAUAACGUCGCAAGACCAAAGAGGGGGACCUUCGGGCCUCUUGCCAUCGGAUGUGCCCAGAUGGGAUUAGCUAGUAGGUGGGGUAACGGCUCACCUAGGCGACGAUCCCUAGCUGGUCUGAGAGGAUGACCAGCCACACUGGAACUGAGACACGGUCCAGACUCCUACGGGAGGCAGCAGUGGGGAAUAUUGCACAAUGGGCGCAAGCCUGAUGCAGCCAUGCCGCGUGUAUGAAGAAGGCCUUCGGGUUGUAAAGUACUUUCAGCGGGGAGGAAGGGAGUAAAGUUAAUACCUUUACUCAUUGACGUUACCCGCAGAAGAAGCACCGGCUAACUCCGUG
Molecule: ribosomal RNA, 490 nt
Filed under: uncultured bacterium
Lineage: Bacteria
Description: partial 16S ribosomal RNA
Rfam family: Bacterial small subunit ribosomal RNA
Source: RNAcentral